CAGAGUUUAUCCCCACUGAUGUUAGAAUAGCCGAAACGAGCAUUUCAGCAGACCAAUCUCAAAACCUCGAGAAAGACGAACGAACUCGUGCUGUUUGGAUUCUGCUGCAGCAGCAGCUGCUUGAAACAGAAGCAAAACGUUCUUCUGAGUAAAGAA
Long non-coding RNA from Populus euphratica (Euphrates poplar), 156 nucleotides. RefSeq lists it as uncharacterized. Lineage: Eukaryota; Viridiplantae; Streptophyta; Magnoliopsida; Malpighiales; Salicaceae. The record is from RefSeq and is a predicted model, not a curated record. The transcript is spliced from 2 exons.